RNAcentral lists this ribosomal RNA (389 nucleotides) under uncultured bacterium. RNAcentral's name for it is "bacterial SSU rRNA". It matches the Rfam family "Bacterial small subunit ribosomal RNA", at positions 29 to 407 of the family's 1533-position model. The record is from RNAcentral.
AACGAACGCUGGCGGCGCGCCUAACACAUGCAAGUCGAACGAGAAGGCGUAGCAAUACGCUUGUAGAGUGGCGAACGGGUGAGUAAUACGUGGGUGACCUACCCUCGAGUGGGGAAUAACCCGCCGAAAGGCGGGCUAAUGCCGCGUACGCUUCCGUCCUCACGGGGACGGAAGGAAAGCUGUACCGUGGGUACGGCGCUCAAGGAUGGGCUCACGUCCUAUCAGCUUGUUGGUAGGGUAACGGCCUACCAAGGCUACGACGGGUAGCUGGUCUGAGAGGACGAUCAGCCACACUGGCACUGCGACACGGGCCAGACUCCUACGGGAGGCAGCAGUGAGGAAUAUUGCGCAAGUGGGCGAAAGCCUGACGCAGCGACGCCGCGUGGGGA